Long non-coding RNA from Triticum dicoccoides, 186 nucleotides. RefSeq lists it as uncharacterized. The record is from RefSeq and is a predicted model, not a curated record. NCBI's taxonomy places the organism in Eukaryota, Viridiplantae, Streptophyta, Magnoliopsida, Poales, Poaceae. The transcript is spliced from 3 exons.
UCAGGAUGACACGGCAUUUGAGAAUCAAACUGCAUUAUUUGCUUUGGCUGUUUCAGAUGUUGUGUUGAUCAAUAUGUCGUGUAAAGAUAUUGGGAGAGAACAAGGUGGGAGCAGGCCUCUUUUGAAAACCAUUUUCCAGGUCCUCAUGAAGUUGUUCGACCCUCGCAAGAAAACCAUGUUAUUUGU